This 429-nucleotide ribosomal RNA is filed under the name Pseudomonadota bacterium. RNAcentral's name for it is "Proteobacteria bacterium partial 16S ribosomal RNA". It matches the Rfam family "Bacterial small subunit ribosomal RNA", at positions 355 to 776 of the family's 1533-position model. The record is from RNAcentral. Lineage: Bacteria; Pseudomonadati; Pseudomonadota.
UGGGGAAUAUUGGACAAUGGGCGAAAGCCUGAUCCAGCCAUGCCGCGUGUGUGAAGAAGGUCUUCGGAUUGUAAAGCACUUUUAGUUGGGAGGAAGGGCAGUAAGCGAAUACCUUGCUGUUUUGACGUUACCGACAGAAUAAGCACCGGCUAACUCUGUGCCAGCAGCUGCGGUAAUACAGAGGGUGCAAGCGUUAAUCGGAAUUACUGGGCGUAAAGCGCGCGUAGGUGGUUCGUUAAGUUGAAUGUGAAAGCCCCGGGCUCAACCUGGGAACUGCAUCCAAAACUGGCGAGCUAGAGUAGGGCAGAGGGUGGUGGAAUUUCCUGUGUAGCGGUGAAAUGCGUAGAUAUAGGAAGGAACACCAGUGGCGAAGGCGACCACCUGGGCUCAUACUGACACUGAGGUGCGAAAGCGUGGGGAGCAAACAGG